CCUACGGGAGGCAGCAGUGGGGAAUAUUGGGCAAUGGGCGCAAGCCUGACCCAGCAACGCCGCGUGAAGGAAGAAGGCUUUCGGGUUGUAAACUUCUUUUGACAGGGAAGAAUAGCAGACGGUACCUGUCGAAUAAGCCACGGCUAACUACGUGACAGCAGCCGCGGUCAUACGUAGGUGGCCAGCGUUGUCCGGAUUUGCUGGGGGUAAAGGGCGUGUAGCCGGGUUGACAAGUCAGAUGUGAAAUCCUGCGGCUUAACCGCAGAACUGCAUUUGAAACUGGUGAUCUUGAGUACUGGAGAGGCAGACAGAAUGCGUAGUGUAGCGGUGAAAUGCGUAGAUAUUAGGAGGAACACCAGUGGCGAAGGCGGUCUGCUGGACAGCAACUGACGGUGAGGCGCGAAAGCGUGGGGAGCAAACAGGAUUAGAUACCCCAGUAGUC
RNAcentral lists this ribosomal RNA (442 nucleotides) under uncultured bacterium. RNAcentral's name for it is "partial 16S ribosomal RNA". It matches the Rfam family "Bacterial small subunit ribosomal RNA", at positions 338 to 795 of the family's 1533-position model. The record is from RNAcentral.